This 253-nucleotide ribosomal RNA is filed under the name uncultured bacterium. RNAcentral describes it as "partial 16S ribosomal RNA". It matches the Rfam family "Bacterial small subunit ribosomal RNA", at positions 524 to 776 of the family's 1533-position model. The record is from RNAcentral.
UACGAAGGAGGCUAGCGUUGCUCGGAAUCACUGGGCGUAAAGCGCACGUAGGCGGCUUUCUAAGUCAGAGGUGAAAUCCUGGAGCUCAACUCCAGAACUGCCUUUGAUACUGGAGAGCUUGAGUUCGGGAGAGGUGAGUGGAACUGCGAGUGUAGAGGUGAAAUUCGUAGAUAUUCGCAAGAACACCAGUGGCGAAGGCGGCUCACUGGCCCGAUACUGACGCUGAGGUGCGAAAGCGUGGGGAGCGAACAGG